UACGUAGGGGGCAAGCGUUGUCCGGAUUUACUGGGCGUAAAGAGCGUGUAGGCGGCCACGCAGGUCCGUUGUGAAAACUGGAGGCUCAACCUCCAGCUGUCGACGGAAACCGUAUGGCUAGAGUCCGGAAGAGGAGAGUGGAAUUCCUGGUGUAGCGGUGAAAUGCGCAGAUAUCAGGAAGAACACCCGUGGCGAAGGCGGCUCUCUGGGACGGUACUGACGCUGAGACGCGAAAGCGUGGGGAGCGAACCGG
RNAcentral lists this ribosomal RNA (253 nucleotides) under uncultured bacterium. Its description in RNAcentral is "partial 16S ribosomal RNA". It matches the Rfam family "Bacterial small subunit ribosomal RNA", at positions 524 to 776 of the family's 1533-position model. The record is from RNAcentral.